UGUGAGGGCCGGGGGGGGCCGGAGCGAUGGCCGCGGCGUCCGGAUUUCCCAUUCCCAAACCUUGGCCCGAUGCAGGAGGAGGAGGAGGCUGAGAUGAAGAUGGCCUGGGAGCCCCAGGCAGACCAGGAGCUGAGGAUGGAGACCAGGGCGGACAAAUCCUCACAGCAGAACCUCAUGGAAGAGACUGUUUUGAGCAGCUCCACAGGACAGGAACCCAACGGGGAGGAAAAGCCCCGGACAUCAGGCACAAGGAGAGGCUGCAGACACAGAUCACGGGGAUCUGAGGAGGAAAGGCUCACCCAAGGCUGGGGAGGCGGCAGGAGCUCAGAGCUGGGAGCAACUUCAUGAUGAGGAGAAGCCCCACAAGUGCUUGGAAUGUGGGAAGAGCUUCAGCCAGAGCUUCAAUCUCCUCACCCACCUUCAGGUGCACACGGGGGAGCGGCACUGGGAGUGCAGGGAAUGUGGGAAGAGGUACAGGCACAGCUCCCACCUCUACCACCAGCGGGUGCACACCACAGAACGGCCCUACACAUGCUUGGAAUGUGGGAAGAGCUCCAGUGUUCGAGCAGUUUGGAUCUCCUCAAGCACAGCACACCAGUGUCCCGAGUGUGGGAAGACCUUCAGGCACAGCUGUAGCUCGACCCAACACAAACAGAGCCACCACUAAGAGAAGCCCUGAGAGUGCCCUGAGUGCGGGAAGAGCUUCCUGUGCUGCUCCAGCUCCAAGCCCCAUGGGAGGAUCCACACUGGAUGAUCCCCAGUGACCCCCGGUGGGCAGAGACCAGUGAUCUGUGUUGGGAAGGCACCUGCCUGCGGGCUCCACAUCCUCCUGGGUCCCCAUGGCCUGGGUUUUCUUGUCAUUUUUCUUUGUCUCUUCAAAACACCCAAAACUGGAGUAAAAAAAUAAAGACAUUGAACUAAGA
This is a long non-coding RNA of Melospiza melodia melodia, 923 nucleotides long. RefSeq lists it as uncharacterized. The transcript has 3 exons. NCBI's taxonomy places the organism in Eukaryota, Metazoa, Chordata, Aves, Passeriformes, Passerellidae. The record is from RefSeq and is a predicted model, not a curated record.